This 256-nucleotide ribosomal RNA is filed under the name uncultured Actinomycetales bacterium. Its description in RNAcentral is "partial 16S ribosomal RNA". It matches the Rfam family "Bacterial small subunit ribosomal RNA", at positions 77 to 334 of the family's 1533-position model. Lineage: Bacteria; Bacillati; Actinomycetota; Actinomycetes; Actinomycetales. The record is from RNAcentral.
CUUUUGUGGGGUGCUCGAGUGGCGAACGGGUGAGUAACACGUGAGUAACCUGCCCUUGACUUUGGGAUAACUUCAGGAAACUGGGGCUAAUACCGGAUAGGAGCUCCUGCUGCAUGGUGGGGGUUGGAAAGUUUCGGCGGUUGGGGAUGGACUCGCGGCUUAUCAGCUUGUUGGUGGGGUAGUGGCUUACCAAGGCUUUGACGGGUAGCCGGCCUGAGUGGGUGACCGGCCACAUUGGGACUGAGAUACGGCCCAG